This 380-nucleotide long non-coding RNA is filed under the name Elaeis guineensis (African oil palm). RNAcentral describes it as "long non-coding RNA (EGUI_LNC000003)". The record is from RNAcentral. Lineage: Eukaryota; Viridiplantae; Streptophyta; Magnoliopsida; Arecales; Arecaceae.
AUACGCAAAAAGGAAGAGACUCAUAGAAUGGCAGAGGCAAAUAGAGCUUUUGCACAUUUUCGUUAAUCCAUGAACAGGAUCUAUAUAGACACAUAGAUCCAUGGAUCCAUACAUCUCGAUCGGAAAAGAAUCAAUAGAAAAAGAAUCGGACGAUAUCUUUCUCGAAACAAACAAAAAGGAAAAGAAAGAUGAAACAUAAAUCAUGAUCAACUAAGCCCUCUCGGGGGCUUGCUUAAGAAUAAGAAAGAGGAAUCUUAUGGAAAUAUCAUGGAAUAAGAUUUGAUCUAUUCAUGGGGAUUCCGUAAAUAUCCCAUUCCAAAAAUAGAAAGUUCGAAACAAUUGGGACUUUUUCGGAGAUUGGAUGCAGUUACUAAUUCAUG